GCCCGAGUGGCGGAAUUGGCAGACGCGCCUGACUCAAAAUCAGGUUCUACGGAGUGUGGGUUCGAGUCCCACCUCGGGCACCC
Molecule: transfer RNA, 83 nt
Filed under: Rothia dentocariosa
Lineage: Bacteria; Bacillati; Actinomycetota; Actinomycetes; Micrococcales; Micrococcaceae
Also listed under: 6 other names
Description: tRNA-Leu
Rfam family: tRNA
About the family: Transfer RNA (tRNA) molecules are approximately 80 nucleotides in length. Their secondary structure includes four short double-helical elements and three loops (D, anti-codon, and T loops).
Source: RNAcentral